UAAGGUGCGUUUGUAGGUAAGGUAAGGUAAGGUAAGGUGUAAGGUGUAAGGUGCGUUUGUAGGUAAGGUAAGGUAAGGUGUAAGAUGUAAGGUGUAAGGUGCGUUUGUAGGUAAGGUAAGGUAAGGUGUAAGGUGCGUUUGUAGGUAAGGUGUAAGAUGUAAGGUGUAAGGUGCGUUUGUAGGUAAGGUGUAAGAUGUAAGGUGUAAGGUGCGUUUGAGGGCAAUAGUAUAUACCUAUUAUGAGUGGCCUAUUAAAUGUAUUUUUUUCCCCACAGGUUACCAAAAGGUGCAACAAGUUCCCUGACAUCUCCAAUGACUUCAUAAACAUUUGUUUAGAAAUUAUAUCUCUCAAG
Oncorhynchus tshawytscha (Chinook salmon) is the source of this 353-nucleotide long non-coding RNA. Lineage: Eukaryota; Metazoa; Chordata; Actinopteri; Salmoniformes; Salmonidae. The record is from Ensembl.